AGCUUCAUGGCGCAGUGGAAGCGCGCCGGGCUCAUAACCCGGAGGCCACUCGAUCGAAACGAGUUGAAGCUA
Molecule: transfer RNA, 72 nt
Filed under: Echria macrotheca
Lineage: Eukaryota; Fungi; Ascomycota; Sordariomycetes; Sordariales; Schizotheciaceae
Description: tRNA-iMet
Rfam family: tRNA
About the family: Transfer RNA (tRNA) molecules are approximately 80 nucleotides in length. Their secondary structure includes four short double-helical elements and three loops (D, anti-codon, and T loops).
Source: RNAcentral